This is a non-coding RNA of Canis lupus familiaris (dog), 83 nucleotides long. Lineage: Eukaryota; Metazoa; Chordata; Mammalia; Carnivora; Canidae. The record is from Rfam.
GCCUGAGUGGCUCAGUGGUUGAGCGUCUGGCUUUGGCUCAGGUCAUGAUCCUGGGGUCCUGGGAUCGAAUCCUGCAUCAGGUU